RNAcentral lists this unclassified non-coding RNA (327 nucleotides) under soil metagenome. Its description in RNAcentral is "partial contains 5.8S ribosomal RNA, internal transcribed spacer 2, and large subunit ribosomal RNA". The stretch from base 1 to 120 matches the Rfam family "5.8S ribosomal RNA", at positions 35 to 154 of the family's 154-position model. The record is from RNAcentral.
GAUGAAGAACGUAGCGAAAUGCGAUAAGUAAUGUGAAUUGCAGAAUUCAGUGAAUCAUCGAAUCUUUGAACGCACAUUGCGCCCCUUGGUAUUCCGAGGGGCAUGCCUGUUCGAGCGUCAUUAUAACCCUCAAGCUCAGCUUGGUGUUGGGGCCUGCUGCACUGGCAGCCCUUAAAAUCAGUGGCGGCGCCAUCUGGCUCUAAGCGUAGUAAUUCUUCUCGCUAUGGAGUCCUGGUGGAUGCUUGCCAUCAACCCCCAAUUUUUCUAUGGUUGACCUCGGAUCAGGUAGGGAUACCCGCUGAACUUAAGCAUAUCAAUAAGCGGAGA